GAUGAACGCUGGCGGCGUGCUUAACACAUGCAAGUCGAACGGAAAGGCCACAGCUUGCUGUGGUACUCGAGUGGCGAACGGGUGAGUAACACGUGGGUGAUCUGCCCUGUACUUCGGGAUAAGCUUGGGAAACUGGGUCUAAUACCGGAUAGGAAUCACAUGUGGGUGUGUGGUUGGAAAGCUUUUGCGGUAUGGGAUGAGCUCGCGGCCUAUCAGCUUGUUGGUGGGGUAAUGGCCUACCAAGGCGUCGACGGGUAGCCGGCCUGAGAGGGUGUACGGCCACAUUGGGACUGAGAUACGGCCCAGACUCCUACGGGAGGCAGCGGUGGGGAAUAUUGCACAAUGGGCGCAAGCCUGAUGCAGCGACGCCGCGUGGGGGAUGACGGCCUUCGGGUUGUAAACUCCUUUCGUCAGGGACGAAGCGAAAGUGACGGUACCUGGAUAAGAAGCACCGGCUAACUACGUG
This 466-nucleotide ribosomal RNA is filed under the name uncultured bacterium. RNAcentral's name for it is "partial 16S ribosomal RNA". It matches the Rfam family "Bacterial small subunit ribosomal RNA", at positions 28 to 507 of the family's 1533-position model. The record is from RNAcentral.